GCUUUAUCUGAGACACUUGAUUUGCUCCUUGUAAAGCUUUGCCUUUCUUGCCCAUGAUAUUGUAGAUCACACCAUUCUUCAUAGCCCUUAUCAUGACUCAGAAUUCGUCCUCUACCUAAACAGAAAAUUUAUGAAUAACAAAAUAAAGUGAUACUAUUAUUAUCCUUUGUAGAGAUGAAAAGUUAUGACACUAACCAAAACCAACAAGUUUUAUGAUGCAAGGGCACG
RNAcentral lists this long non-coding RNA (228 nucleotides) under Elaeis guineensis (African oil palm). RNAcentral's name for it is "long non-coding RNA (EGUI_LNC018182)". Lineage: Eukaryota; Viridiplantae; Streptophyta; Magnoliopsida; Arecales; Arecaceae. The record is from RNAcentral.